This 2144-nucleotide ribosomal RNA is filed under the name Staphylococcus aureus VET0361R. Its description in RNAcentral is "bacterial LSU rRNA". It matches the Rfam family "Bacterial large subunit ribosomal RNA", at positions 3 to 2145 of the family's 2925-position model. The record is from RNAcentral. Lineage: Bacteria; Bacillati; Bacillota; Bacilli; Caryophanales; Staphylococcaceae.
UUAAGUUAUUAAGGGCGCACGGUGGAUGCCUUGGCACUAGAAGCCGAUGAAGGACGUUACUAACGACGAUAUGCUUUGGGGAGCUGUAAGUAAGCUUUGAUCCAGAGAUUUCCGAAUGGGGAAACCCAGCAUGAGUUAUGUCAUGUUAUCGAUAUGUGAAUACAUAGCAUAUCAGAAGGCACACCCGGAGAACUGAAACAUCUUAGUACCCGGAGGAAGAGAAAGAAAAUUCGAUUCCCUUAGUAGCGGCGAGCGAAACGGGAAGAGCCCAAACCAACAAGCUUGCUUGUUGGGGUUGUAGGACACUCUAUACGGAGUUACAAAGGACGACAUUAGACGAAUCAUCUGGAAAGAUGAAUCAAAGAAGGUAAUAAUCCUGUAGUCGAAAAUGUUGUCUCUCUUGAGUGGAUCCUGAGUACGACGGAGCACGUGAAAUUCCGUUGGAAUCUGGGAGGACCAUCUCCUAAGGCUAAAUACUCUCUAGUGACCGAUAGUGAACCAGUACCGUGAGGGAAAGGUGAAAAGCACCCCGGAAGGGGAGUGAAAUAGAACCUGAAACCGUGUGCUUACAAGUAGUCAGAGCCCGUUAAUGGGUGAUGGCGUGCCUUUUGUAGAAUGAACCGGCGAGUUACGAUUUGAUGCAAGGUUAAGCAGUAAAUGUGGAGCCGUAGCGAAAGCGAGUCUGAAUAGGGCGUUUAGUAUUUGGUCGUAGACCCGAAACCAGGUGAUCUACCCUUGGUCAGGUUGAAGUUCAGGUAACACUGAAUGGAGGACCGAACCGACUUACGUUGAAAAGUGAGCGGAUGAACUGAGGGUAGCGGAGAAAUUCCAAUCGAACCUGGAGAUAGCUGGUUCUCUCCGAAAUAGCUUUAGGGCUAGCCUCAAGUGAUGAUUAUUGGAGGUAGAGCACUGUUUGGACGAGGGGCCCCUCUCGGGUUACCGAAUUCAGACAAACUCCGAAUGCCAAUUAAUUUAACUUGGGAGUCAGAACAUGGGUGAUAAGGUCCGUGUUCGAAAGGGAAACAGCCCAGACCACCAGCUAAGGUCCCAAAAUAUAUGUUAAGUGGAAAAGGAUGUGGCGUUGCCCAGACAACUAGGAUGUUGGCUUAGAAGCAGCCAUCAUUUAAAGAGUGCGUAAUAGCUCACUAGUCGAGUGACACUGCGCCGAAAAUGUACCGGGGCUAAACAUAUUACCGAAGCUGUGGAUUGUCCUUUGGACAAUGGUAGGAGAGCGUUCUAAGGGCGUUGAAGCAUGAUCGUAAGGACAUGUGGAGCGCUUAGAAGUGAGAAUGCCGGUGUGAGUAGCGAAAGACGGGUGAGAAUCCCGUCCACCGAUUGACUAAGGUUUCCAGAGGAAGGCUCGUCCGCUCUGGGUUAGUCGGGUCCUAAGCUGAGGCCGACAGGCGUAGGCGAUGGAUAACAGGUUGAUAUUCCUGUACCACCUAUAAUCGUUUUAAUCGAUGGGGGGACGCAGUAGGAUAGGCGAAGCGUGCGAUUGGAUUGCACGUCUAAGCAGUAAGGCUGAGUAUUAGGGAAAUCCGGUACUCAUUAAGGCUGAGCUGUGAUGGGGAGAAGACAUUGUGUCUUCGAGUCGUUGAUUUCACACUGCCGAGAAAAGCCUCUAGAUAGAAAAUAGGUGCCCGUACCGCAAACCGACACAGGUAGUCAAGAUGAGAAUUCUAAGGUGAGCGAGCGAACUCUCGUUAAGGAACUCGGCAAAAUGACCCCGUAACUUCGGGAGAAGGGGUGCUCUUUAGGGUUAACGCCCAGAAGAGCCGCAGUGAAUAGGCCCAAGCGACUGUUUAUCAAAAACACAGGUCUCUGCUAAACCGUAAGGUGAUGUAUAGGGGCUGACGCCUGCCCGGUGCUGGAAGGUUAAGAGGAGUGGUUAGCUUCUGCGAAGCUACGAAUCGAAGCCCCAGUAAACGGCGGCCGUAACUAUAACGGUCCUAAGGUAGCGAAAUUCCUUGUCGGGUAAGUUCCGACCCGCACGAAAGGCGUAACGAUUUGGGCACUGUCUCAACGAGAGACUCGGUGAAAUCAUAGUACCUGUGAAGAUGCAGGUUACCCGCGACAGGACGGAAAGACCCCGUGGAGCUUUACUGUAGCCUGAUAUUGAAAUUCGGCACAGCUUGUACAGGAUA